GGGAUUACCUUAGUAACGGCGAGUGAAGCGGUAAAAGCUCAAAUUUGAAAUCUGGUACUUUCAGUGCCCGAGUUGUAAUUUGUAGAAUUUGUCUUUGAUUAGGUCCUUGUCUAUGUUCCUUGGAACAGGACGUCAUAGAGGGUGAGAAUCCCGUUUGGCGAGGAUACCUUUUCUCUGUAAGACUUUUUCGAAGAGUCGAGUUGUUUGGGAAUGCAGCUCAAAGUGGGUGGUAAAUUCCAUCUAAAGCUAAAUAUUGGCGAGAGACCGAUAGCGAACAAGUACAGUGAUGGAAAGAUGAAAAGAACUUUGAAAAGAGAGUGAAAAAGUACGUGAAAUUGUUGAAAGGGAAGGGCAUUUGAUCAGACAUGGUGUUUUUUGCAUGCACUCGCCUCUCGUGGGCUUGGGCCUCUCAAAAAUUUCACUGGGCCAACAUCAAUUCUGGCAGCAGGAUAAAUCAUUAAGAAUGUAGCUACUUCGGUAGUGUUAUAGCUUUUUGGAAUACUGUUAGCCGGGAUUGAGGACUGCGCUUCGGCAAGGAUGUUGGCAUAAUGGUUAAAUGCC
Molecule: ribosomal RNA, 561 nt
Filed under: Hanseniaspora uvarum
Lineage: Eukaryota; Fungi; Ascomycota; Saccharomycetes; Saccharomycodales; Saccharomycodaceae
Description: eukaryotic LSU rRNA
Rfam family: Eukaryotic large subunit ribosomal RNA
Source: RNAcentral